This is a small nucleolar RNA of Cynocephalus volans (Philippine flying lemur), 137 nucleotides long. NCBI's taxonomy places the organism in Eukaryota, Metazoa, Chordata, Mammalia, Dermoptera, Cynocephalidae. The record is from RefSeq and is a predicted model, not a curated record.
AUUAGGAUCAAAGAUACAACUGCUGUCCCAUGGAAGCAGCAGUCAAGAGAGAGACCAAAAUGACAGUGACAGUUUUCCUGUGCAUCCGCUCUUCUGUUAUCUAUAGCUGAUCUAUGACACUUUGGGAAGAGACAGCU